Molecule: ribosomal RNA, 443 nt
Filed under: uncultured bacterium
Lineage: Bacteria
Description: partial 16S ribosomal RNA
Rfam family: Bacterial small subunit ribosomal RNA
Source: RNAcentral
CCUACGGGAGGCAGCAGUGGGGAAUAUUGGACAAUGGGGGGAACCCUGAUCCAGCGACGCCGCGUGAGUGAAGAAGUAUUUCGGCAUGUAAAGCUCUAUCAGCAGGGAAGAAAGAAAUGACGGUACCUGACUAAGAAGCCCCGGCUAACUACGUGCCAGCAGCCGCGGUAAUACGUAGGGGGCAAGCGUUAUCCGGAUUUACUGGGUGUAAAGGGAGCGUAGACGGCGAUGCAAGUCUGAAGUGAAAGGCGGGGGCCCAACCCCCGGACUGCUUUGGAAACUGUAUGGCUGGAGUGCAGGAGAGGUAAGUGGAAUUCCUAGUGUAGCGGUGAAAUGCGUAGAUAUUAGGAGGAACACCAGUGGCGAAGGCGGCUUACUGGACUGUAACUGACGUUGAGGCUCGAAAGCGUGGGGAGCAAACAGGAUUAGAUACCCGGGUAGUC